This 68-nucleotide transfer RNA is filed under the name Loxodonta africana (African savanna elephant). It matches the Rfam family "tRNA". Rfam says of the family: Transfer RNA (tRNA) molecules are approximately 80 nucleotides in length. Their secondary structure includes four short double-helical elements and three loops (D, anti-codon, and T loops). Lineage: Eukaryota; Metazoa; Chordata; Mammalia; Proboscidea; Elephantidae. The record is from Rfam by way of RNAcentral.
AGUGGCUUGGUGAUCUAAGUGGUUGGCUGCUAACCAAAAGGUCGGUAGUUCGAAUCCACCAGCCAUUC